AAACCACCUUGCAGAUGAUGCAAGGAAACCAGAAGCACAGGUCUAGGAGGUCUGUGGGGUCCUGGGCCACACCACUGCCUUCCCCUCGGGGACCGUGUGUCUGGAAGGAAGAAACACCAGCAGCUCUGACCUGAGCAGAGCUUCAGGGAAGAUGCAGCGGCUCCUGCUCUGCUUGGCCUUUCUUCUGCACCCCAAGCCUGGGACAGGUCUUUAUGUAUUACAGGUAGCAUGGCACAGAGGUACCCCCUUCUUAGAAGACACCACCCCUGGGGCACAGAAUGCUGCUUAGGUUGAUUGGUCUCUCACAUCAUGGAUGAAGAGGAUCUCAGAUGCUUUCCAGCCACGGUCGGGCAGCUCUCAACAGAAUCAAGUCACUAGUCCUCUUCUGUGUGCAGGGAAACUUCUGGGACACAAAGGCCUUUGCCUUGAAUAGGGAGCAGGAAAAGAGAAGUCUUCAACUGGGUCACAAUUUCCCCUGAAAGUUUGUUGGGGCUCCAGUGACCUGAGAAAGUAAUUGUCAGUGGCAGAGCCUUGCUCUUCCCUUUUCCUUCUCUGGCAGCGCACUCCAGCCACUCAGGAGAGAGAGCUACUCAACCUGCCUUGAGACUUCUAGAAAGAAGUGGAAGCACCAGGGUCUCCACAGGGUGGCCAAGGGCGAGAGAUGAAGACAGGCAGGCUUCCCCUUUUCCUCUUGUGUGUCCUUUGAUUUGUUCCUGGUGUCCUCACCACAUCACACCUCACAACACACUUGUGUUUCAUUCGCCCUUGUCCAUGUCUUGCUAAGUAUAUAUGACUAAGGAAUCCAGGAAACAUAUUCAUUUAGAGAAACUGCAAUUCCAGAUGACUGAGCUCUAAUUCUGGAGACAAGCAAAUAGAGGAAAUAGGCUGCCACCAGCUUUCAUGCAUUGUCAGGAAAUUAUUGAAUUUGGCAGGUUUAGGAUUCUAGGUCACAAGCUCCAAGCACCCCUUCAUCACCCUGGGAUCCCAUUUCUGCUCCCAGCACUGACUCAGCGGUUGUCGAGGGGAUGGUAGUGCUGGCUGGGAUGACUCUUUCUUCCCCAUAUCACUGGCAGUGGUGGGCAGCCUCCUGGGCAGCUGGGUGAUGAAACCUAUCGCACCAGCAGGAGAAUGAGACUGUGAAUUCUGACCACCAGCCCCACCCUUCCUUCCUGUCUCUGGGGACGAAAGUCCGGCAGGAAGAAGCACCAGCAGCAACUCAUUGGGCAGGCUUCCGAGGAAGAUGCAGCCGCUCCUGCUCCUGGUGGCCUUUCUCCUACCCCCAGGGCUGGGGCUGGUGAGCGACCAUUCCAACCUCAGAGAUCCGACCCUUCUCACAGACCCUGGAGCCAGACUGCCUAGGCACUGCCUACCUCAGGAUCGCAGGGCAAGUUACUUGAAUUCACAGCUCCCAGGCUCCCCAAACAUAAAAUAGCAAUCAUUUCAAUGCCUUCCUCAUACACUUGCUAUGAGAAGCAAAUUAGUUGGUGUACAUAAAAUUCUUGACUUGCCCCUGGCACCUAGAAUGUGCUAUAUAAAUGUGCUCUCUAAAUUCAUUCUGCUGCCCAUGUGUCAGAGCCGAGGCCAUAAGGAGACAGCAAUAACAGUCCCAUCAGCUCACAUCUAGAAUCUCAAAACCAGUCCCCUGUUGGUCAUGAGCUGACCAUGAGCUGGACUCAGAGGGAUCUGGGAAGUUCCCUGAGAAAGAAAGUACCAGAGAAAUUCAGGGAGAGGCCACUCCAGAAGGCUCUGGAUUUGCCAAUCAGAGAGUAGAGCAUCUCUCCUCAAUAUGUGAGGCUGAAGCUGGCCAUGCCUGGAGCAAGGGUUCUUCUCCUCCUUUGGAGGAGUUGGGAGGAGCUGGGGUCUGGGAUGAGGAGUCAGCAGUGUUUCCUGAAGAACCCUGGAGCUCUCCCCCAAUGUGUGGAGCAGAUCGCAACUCUCACGCCCAACUCCUCUUUCCUCUGCAUCCUCUCAUCUGCCUCCACAUCCUCUAGCCUUUCUGGAGCUACCAAAUUGGUGGCACACCAGUGAGUCCACAAGCACAGAGAUAAGUACCGAAUGUUUCCUUCCAGGGGAGAUCAUCAGAGGCCAAGAGGCCAAGCCUCAUUCCCAUCCCUACAUGGCAUAUCUUCAGACCCAGACUCCAAAGGGUUUGGGCACUUGCUGAGGGUUCCUGGUGCAAGAAGACUUUGUGCUGACGGCAGCUCUCUGCUGGGGAAGGUGAGGAACUAAGGAGAAUCCUAGGUGACCAGUCACACAGGCCCAGAAGAUAUCAUACGGAGGGCCAUCUGAAAGCAGGGUUCUAGCAAUGAAGGGGUGACAAAGAGACCAGGUAGGUCUAGGGGAGAGGGAACAGGCCAGUGUAAAUGAGGAGAAAGGAAGAACACGAUCAAAAAGAGCAAGAGGAGGAAACGGAAGGCACGCAUUGGGGUUCAAAAUAUGAAUUGAAGCUAUCUUUCAAUUUAUUGCAGAAGAAGUAAAAUUCGAGGUCACUAUGUCCCCUGCCCUCCCAUCUCAAACACCCCACCUGUGCCUGCCUUCUCUGAGGGCUGUGCCUUAGGGCAGGAGGAGUGGGGAAGCCCAACUUCGCAUCUGUUCUCAUCACCCACACCGGUACACCAGAGGCCCCCUGGUGUGUCACCAUGAGGCCCAGGGCAUCGUAUCCUAUGAAAAUAGGAUGAGGAUUCCUCCAGCAGUCUUUACCACCAUUUCCAGCUUCCUGCCCUGGAUAACGAGAUCAAGGAGACACUUCAAACAGUGGGCUCAGACUAAGACCCUGCUUGUGACUGACUACUCUGGGGCAGAGGCCAGCUCCAAGGGUGUUGCCAUAGCCUUAAUAAAUGACCACAUCUAGAGUGUAAAUAACCUAUUUCUCAUUUGUUCAGUCAACAUCAUUCAGUACACAACAAAUAUAUGCCAGGACUGAGUCUGAGCAAAUCCAGGAAAAAGGGGUCUCUUCCUCAGGACAAAUGAAUCCCCUACAGUGUCCUGGAGAUCAGGAUGAGCUUCUUCCCUCCUCCAAGCCAUCUAAUCCCUCAUCUCCCCUCCCCUCAUGGCCUUGGGAAGGGAUGGAAGGACACCUCUCUGCCCAGGGCAAGGCUCUCUACUCUCCACCCUACCAGAGACCCCCUAAUAAUAUUAAAGUGCAAUCCACCUUCCAUAUCCCCGGCAGAUUCAACCAAUGGGGAUCGAAAAGCCUAUGAUGGUUGUCUUACUGAACACGUAC
This 3223-nucleotide long non-coding RNA is filed under the name Equus caballus (horse). RNAcentral's name for it is "lncRNA (ENSECAG00000057033.1)". The record is from RNAcentral. Lineage: Eukaryota; Metazoa; Chordata; Mammalia; Perissodactyla; Equidae.